AGUGAACGCUGGCGGUAGGCCUAACACAUGCAAGUCGAACGGCAGCACAGUAAGAGCUUGCUCUUACGGGUGGCGAGUGGCGGACGGGUGAGGAAUACAUCGGAAUCUACUUUUUCGUGGGGGAUAACGUAGGGAAACUUACGCUAAUACCGCAUACGACCUACGGGUGAAAGCAGGGGAUCUUCGGACCUUGCGCGAUUGAAUGAGCCGAUGUCGGAUUAGCUAGUUGGCGGGGUAAAGGCCCACCAAGGCGACGAUCCGUAGCUGGUCUGAGAGGAUGAUCAGCCACACUGGAACUGAGACACGGUCCAGACUCCUACGGGAGGCAGCAGUGGGGAAUAUUGGACAAUGGGCGCAAGCCUGAUCCAGCCAUACCGCGUGGGUGAAGAAGGCCUUCGGGUUGUAAAGCCCUUUUGUUGGGAAAGAAAAGCAGCAGAUUAAUACCCCGCUGUUCUGACGGUACCCAAAGAGUAAGCACCGGCUAACUUCGUG
RNAcentral lists this ribosomal RNA (492 nucleotides) under uncultured bacterium. RNAcentral describes it as "partial 16S ribosomal RNA". It matches the Rfam family "Bacterial small subunit ribosomal RNA", at positions 29 to 507 of the family's 1533-position model. The record is from RNAcentral.